RNAcentral lists this ribosomal RNA (254 nucleotides) under uncultured bacterium. RNAcentral's name for it is "partial 16S ribosomal RNA". It matches the Rfam family "Bacterial small subunit ribosomal RNA", at positions 524 to 776 of the family's 1533-position model. The record is from RNAcentral.
UACAGAGGUGGCUAGCGUUGUUCGGAUUCAUUGGGUGUAAAGGGUGCGUAGGCGGUCCGGAAAGUCGGGUGUGAAAGCCCACAGCUCAACUGUGGAAAUGCAUUCGAAACUUCCAGACUCGAGUGCGAGAGAGGUGAAGGGAAUUCCCGGUGUAAGGGUGAAAUCUGCAGAGAUCGGGAGGAACACCAGCAGCGAAGGCGCUUCACUGGCUCGUAACUGACGCUGAGUGCACGAAGGCGUGGGGAGCAAACGGG